ACACUUACCUGGUUGAUCCUGCCAGCACGGUUUGCUACACUCAAGGACAUAAGCCAUGCAAGUGUCAGUGGAAGGAACUUUUUAUACUGGAACUGCGAACAGCUCAGGAGCCCAUUUUUAAUGUCCUCUUUGAUCUUCCACUCACACGGAUAACUGUGAUAACUCAGAGCUAAGACCGCGCUAAAAAAGCCUAUGCCUUCGGGGGUAGGUUGCGCAGCUUGGAUUUCAACCGGUGGAAAUUUAUUUCCCGUGGUGACUCACGAGCUUCGUGCUAAUGACUGUGCCCUUUGGGGUUAGUCAUGCAAAGAAACAAAUUUGGAGCUAUCAUGUAGACGCUAGGGUAGUGGCCUAGCGUGCAAGCCACAGCUACAGAGAAUCAGGGUUCGAUUCUGGAGAGGCCGCGCGAGCAUCAGCGACCAUUUCUAAGGAGCAGCAGCAGGCGCGCAACUUCCCCAAUAGACAUGUGUCUGAGGGAGCGACGAGGGAUACCGCUUGGGAAGGAAGCUUCGCUUCUCUUUCCGCGGAAUGAACGGUCUGAAAAGACGCCGUGACGCAUUGGAGGGCAAGUCUGGUGCCAGCAGCCGCGGUAAUUCCAGCUCCAAGAGCGAACUUUGACGUUGCUGCGAUUGAAAAGCUCGUAGUCGGUGUUAUGACUUGCUGCAGUUCCAGGGGAUACUAAGUGUCCCCCAGAGCUCAGCUGUCACUUAUGGAAACUUCUGCCAUUUAUGGUAGGCGUUUCCCGCUCACUUUGAGGAAAUUAGAGUGUUUAUAGCAGGCUUCACGCCUGGAUACCUCAGCAUGGAAUGACGAAAUAGGACCGUGGGCUCCAAUUUCGCCGGUUGGGUGCGAGCUCGGGUAAUGACUGAUAGGAACGGUCGGGGGCCUUAUUACUGCGGGGAUAGAGGUGAAAUUCUAUGACCCCCGCAUGAAUAACCGGUGCGAAAGCGUUGGCCAAGGACGUUUCCAUUGAUCAAGAGCGAAGGUUAGGGGAGCCAAGGAGAUUAGACACCUCUGUAGUCCUAACGGUAAACUAUGCCAUCAGGCUCUUACAGCGUUGGUUGAAGACCUCCGGGUCGUGUGCCUCGCUGUAGGAGCUCUCGAGAAAUCAAAGAUUGGUUUCGGGGGUAGUACGUUCGCAAGGAUGAAACUUAAAGGAAUUGACGGAAGGGCACCACCAGAAGUGGAGCCUGCGGCUUAAUUUGACUCAACACGGGAAAACUCACCAGGGCCAGACUCAGCGAGGAUUGACAGCAUAGCGGGGCUUUCUUGAUUUUGGGGGUGGUGGUGCAUGGCCGUUCUUAGUUGGUGCUGUGGAGUGUCUGCUUAAUUGCGAUAACGAACGAGACCAUCGGAGUAGAAUACUUUGGUAAACCUCUUGUAGGUUUAUUUUCAAAGUUCUCUGCUCGACUACGGUAGACAAUACCGGGGAAGUUGAUGGCUAAAACAGGUCUGUACGCCCUCAGAUGUUCUGGGCCGCACGCGCGCUACACUGAUGCAUGCAGCGAGUUAAUCUAGUGUAAUGCCACCUCUAGGGGUGGUGUUCCUAACCAUGGCCGGAAGGCCUUGGAACUCUUGCCAACGUGCAUCGUGCUGGGGAUUGGGGGUUGGAAUUGUCCCCCAUCAACGAGGAAUUUCUUGUACAGGCGGUUCAUCAAACCGCCUGGAAUAUGUCCCUGCCCUUUGUACACACCGCCCGUCGCUGCGACCGAUUGGAUUGCGUGGUGAAGGCUUCCGGAGGAUGCGUUAGUAGCUUGCUGCUCUCUGCGUCCAAAGCUGUCUGAACCCUGCACUCUAGAGAUUGCAGAAGUCGUAACAAGGUAACCGUAGGUGAACCUGCGGUUGGAUCAUUGGAAUU
Molecule: ribosomal RNA, 1855 nt
Filed under: Flavobacteriales bacterium
Lineage: Bacteria; Pseudomonadati; Bacteroidota; Flavobacteriia; Flavobacteriales
Description: bacterial SSU rRNA
Rfam family: Eukaryotic small subunit ribosomal RNA
Source: RNAcentral